RNAcentral lists this ribosomal RNA (301 nucleotides) under uncultured bacterium. RNAcentral's name for it is "partial 16S ribosomal RNA". It matches the Rfam family "Bacterial small subunit ribosomal RNA", at positions 509 to 807 of the family's 1533-position model. The record is from RNAcentral.
CAGUAGCCGCGGUAACACGUAGGGCGCAAGCGUUGUCCGGAAUUAUUGGGCGUAAAGAGCUCGUAGGCGGUCUGUCGCGUCUGGUGUGAAAUCCCGAGGCUCAACCUCGGGCUUGCAUCGGGUACGGGCAGACUAGAGUGCGGUAGGGGAGACUGGAAUUCCUGGUGUAGCGGUGGAAUGCGCAGAUAUCAGGAGGAACACCGAUGGCGAAGGCAGGUCUCUGGGCCGCAACUGACGCUGAGGAGCGAAAGCAUGGGGAGCGAACAGGAUUAGAUACCCCAGUAGUCCCUGUCUCUUAUAC